AAGUACAAUGGUGUUAGAUUGGAGUGUUUCUAUAAUGUAAGAGAUAUACUUGUAUUUCCUUUUUUGUCAUUUUUUGCAAAAUAUCAACUCUUAAAAUGCACCAUCUUUUCAAAAUAUUGAAGGAUGAUAUACAAGCUCUAUGUCAGAAGUUCCUUUUUGAGAUCAUAACUUGCAACGACAAUGAAAUUCAGCUACCAUUAGUAACUUAUUUUAUGAAAAGUCAUGGUUUCCCCAUAUUCAAGUGAAUCUUUCAAGGACAAUCAUUUUUUGUUUUGGAUAUUAGGGUGUCAUUGCUGUUAAUACUGAACUUCAAGGAUGACUCAACUGAAAGGAACACCUCCAAGGGAAAAUGUUUCCUUCACUUUUCUUUUUUCAUCUUGCAACUCGAUUCAUAGUUUCUUGCAAUACCUUGAGCUGGAAAGAAGGUUCAGAAACAUCAUAAACAAGUUUGUCAAAAGCUGUAAGCUUACAACAAUUUCAGAAGGAGUUGUAAACAAGAUUU
Hordeum vulgare subsp. vulgare (domesticated barley) is the source of this 502-nucleotide long non-coding RNA. RefSeq lists it as uncharacterized. NCBI's taxonomy places the organism in Eukaryota, Viridiplantae, Streptophyta, Magnoliopsida, Poales, Poaceae. The transcript has 3 exons. The record is from RefSeq and is a predicted model, not a curated record.